This is a long non-coding RNA of Aedes albopictus (Asian tiger mosquito), 2965 nucleotides long. RefSeq lists it as uncharacterized. Lineage: Eukaryota; Metazoa; Arthropoda; Insecta; Diptera; Culicidae. The transcript has 3 exons. The record is from RefSeq and is a predicted model, not a curated record.
ACACAAUAAAUAUCUUGUAUGUGUUAAUGUUAAUAUACCACACACAGUUGUUUUCAUGUUCAACAAUAUGAAGGUCUGUGCAUUCGACUGUAUUCAAUGGUUUAAUUAACCCAUAGCAAGUGGUAACAAUGUAUUAUAUUGUGCAGUUAUUGUUAAGUUAUAUGAGGAUGAAUAUUUGCGAGAAAUGGUUGAAAAAUAGAACCACAGUUUGUCAAAUGGUUUACAUUCAUAUUGGCACAACACACUGACACAUGUGCAUUCAACUACAUUUUACUAAUGUUGCACAAUAUGACAAACAGUUUCGUACAUUAGUAUUUGUGAUCGAUUGAAACUUGACCAGAGGAUCUACUCAACUACUUGCAGCUUGACAUUUUGCAAUAAAAAAAAGAAAAAAAAAAGUAAUUUGUUUGGUCGCUGGUGUUUAAAUGCAGUUUCGGAAAAUCCGUUCCGGGAUACAUCUGAAACGGCAGAUUUUAUGCAUUUCGUUGUGCACGGAUUUUACCCAGAGCUCGACCCAGAGGCAUUCCCCGACAGAUCCAGCCCAGUAACUCCCAAUACCGAUGACCUGCGGCAGCUUUAACCUCAGCAUUGUUGAAAACCUCCGGUAGAACUAAAGGAGAAGAAGAGCGAUGUCGUUUAGCAAAAUGUUCAUACAUGGUUCCGAUUCUCGUCGCUCAACGGCCGGCAGGGAAAAGUGAACAAAAUGUGGCUCACUGCCGGCAUUCGUUGGAGCCGCAACAAUUGGUGGAGGAAUUGCAUCUAGUAGGAUGGGAGUGGCUGCUGGGCAUGAGUCUUGGAAUAGAUGGUAAAUAGUUGAUGAAUAAAAAAUCUACAGAAAAGAAAACACAACCGCCUUUUUAUUUCUAAGCGGUUGAAAUGCAGCAGAACCAUAUGUCAUAGGCUUAAAAUACCAUGAAAUACCAUUAAUCAAUAAUAUCACAUACAGUGCUCGUUUUCUCCCAGAUUUAUUGUGGAACUGUUGUCCAACCAUUUGCUAUGCAGUGAAUGGUCUGAAAAACUGGAUAAUAUAUUGACCGUAUCCUUUACUGUAUUGCGAAAAAUUUGUUCGAGAAAACGAGCGAUUUUUUAUGGUAACCUAUCUUAACCGCCUAUUCAACAAACUGUAAUUUGGCGGAUUACCAUUUGUCAAACUGGCAAAUCUGUACAUAGAAUAGUUGUCUUACUGUUAUCUUGGACAGCCUGAGGAAUGGUUACAUGACAAUUGCUAAUAGUCAUCCACAGUAUGAGAAACGUUGCAUUUACAGUUUGUGAUUAUGUGGGUUGUGGGUCGAGGAAAUAGUAGUCCAGGCUUCUGAUUUUGUUGUAGAAUACGAUGCCUAACGCCAUAUUACCUGAACCUCCCUUUUUAGGUGUCUGUUGAGCUGAUUAAAAAAAAAUCAGAAAAAUAUUACUAAACCCUACCAAUUUACCGUCAACCUCAAACCUAUGAAUUCUCUUGCCCUACGCCUUCCUCAGGCCUUUGAAACGAAAUCAUUUUAUUCCAAUCAAAAACCGAAACAGGCUGUCAAUCAUACCUGCACAGUUUCGAACACAUGUGUUGAAACAAAAUCACAUUGCCAUACUCAAUCCUUACAACCUCUCUCCCAUAUCAACUACAUCCAAGUAUACAUAAGCAUGUUUAUAUCAAACAUAAACAAAUCGAUUCGACAAAACUGUGACAAACGAGUUUUCCCCGUCGCCAGCAGAUAGAAGCUGAAACCAUUUCAGUGCAGUGCAGUGCACAGAUUAGUAGCUAUACAGUUGAGUCUCCUACUACGCCUUAUCAACCGAAUUACGCUCAUCAAAAUUUCUCGGUUGUAUUUCUACCAAAUAAGAUACCUAUGUGUUUGCAAUUAUUCAGCCCGUUACGCCAUAACUACACCCAAAACCAUCAGGUCAAACGGAUGCAAUAGAUCGAAGAAAUUGUGGUGCGCAUACUGUUCGUGGCAGGGCUCAGUAGGAAACUUAACUGUUAGGUAUGCAUACCUCACUGCCAUUUCCGUGUCAUUGCAUCAUCGUUUGAUCCUUCAACAUGCGAGCUGAAUAAGUGGUUGGGAUGGAAUGCAUACGUAACUACAGCUGGAAUAGUACAAAAAUCUUCAUUACAGCGGUUUUUCUGUGGUAAAAACUGAAUGAAAUCAUGUUUUUUUUCAGAGCUUUUCUACAUUGUUGUUUGUGAAAAAAAGAUGUCUAUAUCAGCUCGAUUAACAUAUUUAAAAAAUGCAUAAUAUUUUUGAAUUUUCAUGACUUAUUCUAAUAACGUAUGCCCAAACACGAAAAGCAAUUGAAAACGAUAUCAUAUUCGGGUCAUUUAUAUGCAUCACCAAGAUUGUUGGUAAGCACUUGUGGCCCUUAUCCACGUGUAGUGAAAUGGCUCACUGUGUAGGCUGCACCCACGCAACAACCAAUUGUAAUGGUGAAACACUAAACUAGGCAACUAACUUUUAUCUCUGCGGGAAAUGACCGGUUUGGGUCGUUGUUUCCGGACCUGCUGCAAUGUCAAUCUACCUACCUACAUAACGAUUCGAUGUCGGUAUUUGCGGUUGACAUUCCAGGAGCCGUAUGGUCAGUAGUAGCGGCUGUUUUUCUGUACCCUUUUGAAAUGAAUAUAAAAACACACCCAACCCACCCACUGACAAAGUGAAAUUGAAAUGAAAAAUUAUGCGAAAAAAACAAUAUCAAGGUCAUGGUUUGGGCAUAGUUGUGAGCAGGAACAUAGAUGACCACGCAAUCCGUUGUUGUUAGUCCGUGUUUGACCGGAAUAAUCGAAAUUGCACAGAAAACCAAUUAAUGAUGCUUAGGAUUAGCGUGCACAAUUCGGGAACUCCCAACUGUCAAUAACAGCAUCGGCUACGUCCUUACGGUUAUCCAGGAAGGGAAGGAAUAUUAGCUAGGCAACCGUUAUUAUGGAGAUCGAAAAUCUCUGUAUCUCCACGGUUGAAAUUAAUGAGAUUCGUUUUCCUGU